RNAcentral lists this ribosomal RNA (393 nucleotides) under uncultured bacterium. Its description in RNAcentral is "partial 16S ribosomal RNA". It matches the Rfam family "Bacterial small subunit ribosomal RNA", at positions 523 to 918 of the family's 1533-position model. The record is from RNAcentral.
AUACGUAGGUGGCGAGCGUUAUCCGGAAUUACUGGGUGUAAAGGGUGUGUAGGCGGGAAGGCAAGUCGGAUGUGAAAAUUAUGGGCUCAACCCAUAAAGUGUGACCGAAACUGUUUUUCUUGAGGAUCGGAGAGGUAAUGAGAAUUCCCGGUGUAGCGGUGAAAUGCGCAGAGAUCGGGAGGAAUACCGGUGGCGAAGGCGAAUUACUUGACGAUAACAGACGCUGAGACACGAAAGCGUGGGGAGCAAACAGUAUUAGAUACCCUGGUAGUCCACGCCCUAAACGAUGAAUGCUAGGUGUAGGGGAGUCAUCUUCUGUGCCGCAGCUAACGCAAUAAGCAUUCCACCUGGGGAGUACGGCCGCAAGGUUUAAACUCAAAUGAAUUGACGGGG